CUUUAUUUUCUUAUAUAUCUCCCUGAUUGAUUCUGUCGACGGUUAUAACCAUGUAUAUCUAAGUUUAAAUAAACCUAUAAUGGUGAAACCGCGAACGGCUCAUUAUAACAGCUAUAAUGUACUUGAUGUUGAUUAUCCAACUUGGAUAACUGUGGCAAUUCUAGAGCUAAUACAUGCACCAAAGCUCCGACUUUUUGAACGAGCGCAUCUAUUAGAUUAAAACCAAUCGGAACAAAUUUGAUUUGAUCCGUUAAUUUGGUGACUCUAAAUAGCUAUAGCUGAUCGCAUGGUCUUGUACCGGCGACAUAUCUAUCAAGUGUCUGCCUUAUCAACUUUCGAUGGUAGUUUAUGUGCCUACCAUGGUUGUAACGGGUAACGGAGAAUAAGGGUUCGACUCCGGAGAGGGAGCCUGAGAAACGGCUACCACAUCCAAGGAAGGCAGCAGGCGCGCAAAUUACCCAAUCUCAGAAUGAGGAGGUAGUGACGAAAAAUAACGAGACCGUUCUCUAUGAGGCCGGUUAUCGGAAUGGGUACAAUUUAAACCUGUUAACGAGGAUCUAUGAGAGGGCAAGUCUGGUGCCAGCAGCCGCGGUAAUUCCAGCUCUCAAAGUGUAUAUCGUCAUUGCUGCGGUUAAAAAGCUCGUAGUUGGAUCUGCGUCUUAGAACUUGGUCCAUCCAAAUGGAUGUGAACUAGGAUUCUAGACUAAAUAUUACAAGUUUUCUAUAUGUUACCUUAAUUGGUUGCAUAUAGUAGCUAGUAAGUUUACCUUGAAAAAAUUAGAGUGCUCAAUGCGGGCUUAAUGCCUGAAUACUCGUGCAUGGAAUAAUAAAAUAGGAUCUUGGUUCUAUUUUGUUGGUUUUCUGAUCUGAGAUAAUGGUUAAGAGGGACGGACGGGGCAUUCGUAUCGCUACGUGAGAGGUGAAAUUCUUGGACCGUAGCGAGACGUACAACUGCGAAAGCAUUUGCCAAGAAUGUCUUCAUUAAUCAAGAACGAAAGUCAGAGGUUCGAAGGCGAUCAGAUACCGCCCUAGUUCUGACCGUAAACGAUACCAACUAGCGUUCCGUCGGCGGUAAAUACGCCUUGACGGGCAGCUUCCCGGAAACGAAAGUUUUCGGUUCCGGGGAAGUAUGGUUGCAAAGCUGAAACUUAAAGAAAUUGACGGAAGGGCACCACCAGGAGUGGAGCCUGCGGCUUAAUUUGACUCAACACGGGAAAACUCACCUGGCCCGGACACCGUGAGGAUUGACAGAUUGAGUUUUUUAAUAUAUCAUUAUAGUAGAAAUGGACGUUGACCACUUCUUUCUUUCCAACAUAUCUUCAUUUACUUCACAUAUAAAUCUAUCAUCUAUACCAAGAUCUUCGGAAAGAUUAUCGGUUCGAAUAAUUGUCCUUUCAAUUGUCUUCGCACUUGGUCCAGCAAAAACUGUUACUUUAUUCUGUAAACCAUUUGAAAACGUGUCUUAAAAUUUUAAAAUUAGAGAUAAACAUGAAAGAAUCUUCUAAACUUCACUAUAGAAAUAUUUAUU
This is a non-coding RNA of Dirofilaria immitis (dog heartworm nematode), 1528 nucleotides long. NCBI's taxonomy places the organism in Eukaryota, Metazoa, Nematoda, Chromadorea, Rhabditida, Onchocercidae. The record is from the annotation of a GenBank genome assembly.